AUUUGUUAGGUUGGUGCAAAAGUAAUUGCGGUUUUUGCAAUUACUUUCAAUAGCAAAAACUGCAAUUACUUUCGCACCAACCUAAUAAUU
This 90-nucleotide microRNA precursor is filed under the name Chlorocebus sabaeus (green monkey). RNAcentral describes it as "miRNA (ENSCSAG00000027454.1)". The record is from RNAcentral. Lineage: Eukaryota; Metazoa; Chordata; Mammalia; Primates; Cercopithecidae.